GGCAGUUAAAGAGUGGAUGCCCAACUGCUCUGAUGUAGGCCGCUCCGAAUCAAUUAUCCGAUAUAUGGCGUCUCUUGAAGGUAACUAAGAAACCUGCGACGCAGUUUUUGUUGUGCCUGCAUUAUUUGCUAUGCCAGAAUACUUUCCAUUACCCAGUUCUACUUUGGUAUUUCCUUCUGCAUCGGCUUAUUAGAUUUCAACCUUACAUGUUCAUCUUGGAAAAGAUCUUACAUCAUAAUUUGGUGUCUCCGUUCAGUUCUAAUCAAUAAAAAAAAUUGUUGUUUCUUGUAAUGAUGAACAUUUUAUAGUUGUAGCAUAAUUAGAUGAUGAUAUUGUUAAAGGUUAACUGAUUUAUGAACAUACUUCCAUUAUUAUUCUGCAUAUUGCCAUUUCUUUUACUGUAUACACAACUUUCAAAAGUUGGCUAGGUAAUUGGUUCACACGUAGUGUGCAGUGACAUACCUCAUGCAAAUAUAAUCCACGAUAUUGUCUAUUUCUAUUGUGUGCUCACAUGACCACCGGAAUAUUUCACUAAUUUAUAUGCUUAGGCAGGUUCACUGGAUGAUAUGCAUCAUGGAUCGUAGGUACUAUUUGGUUUAGUUUAAUACAAUCUGCUGAUAUUAAGGUAUAAUAACUGAAAACUUCCAGAGGUUAAUGGGAAGGCAGAACUGAUAAGCAUAAGCAUAAGCAGCUAGAAAUGUUUUGUCUGCUUGUGAACAGAUAAAGCCAAAAAAGAAUGUGCGUUAUGAGUAUAAAAAUAGCACGCCAUAUGAGUAUAAGUAAGAAUACUAAUGAGCUUUCGCUCAUGCUUAUGAACUGAUCCAUCUACUUAUAUAGAAUGAUGAGAUGUGAUCAUGCACGUGCACUAUCCAAUUUCUUACUACUAAUUAGAUAAGUUCAGCUAUAACGGAGUAUAAGUAAGAAUACUAAUAAGUUCAGCUAUAAAAAUAGCACGCCAUAUGAGUAUAAGUAAGAAUACUAAUGAGCUUUCGCUCAUGCUUAUGAACUGAUCCAUCUACUUAUAUAGAAUGAUGAGAUGUGAUCAUGCACGUGCACUAUCCAAUUUCUUACUACUAAUUAGAUAAGUUCAGCUAUAACGGAGUUGGUAUCAUGCCCUUUUACAUUGUGUACAUUGUUUGGUGUUCAAGAUAAAAUCAUGAUGUUUUUUUCUCAUUUGAAUGUGAAUGACAUGAUGCGUGUUUCUGUGCUCGUUGGUCCUCUUUUGUCCUGACCAUUAUGAAUUUAUAGCAUUUCAUAUAUACAUAAUUAAUUUUUCCCAUUUAGAUAUCAUAUGAUUUUCCUUCUACCAAUACUACUAUUUAUGGUCUCAUGCCUCUCUGUCAGGAUUCUCAGUGGUCUCAUGCCUCUCUGUCAGGAUUCUCCCAAUUUGAAAGAGGUACACAAACGUUACUUUCUUUGUCAGGGUUUGUCUACAUUUAUCUUUAAGGCUACAACCUGGAGUCUCAUGGGGGUGUGGAGAUGAUACCUAAGUAAUCUAGGGCAUUGCUUUGUUAGGGGUUCACUUAUGUACAAGAAUGGCAUGUUCUUUCUUGUGUAAUAUAUCGUGGGUUUUUUUCUGCUCAACACCAUCUAGACUAUGUAUCAUUGUAACCUGCUUUAUGGUUUGGACCUGAGCGCUGGAGCAUGGUGCUGGACAGGGAACGAGUCCCUAAGACCGCUCUUUGGAAUUCCAAUAUAGAUGAAGAUAGAAGUGAAAUUUGAGGGCCAACAAAUAUGUUGUAUCGUGGAUGUCCCCCUUUACAUCAUUGUUUUAUGAAAUGCACUAACGCUCCUGGAAGGUUGUUCUGAGUAUAUUUGUAUAUUUUUUACAACAAGUAUGAUUUGGUGUGAAGUUAUCCAAUGUCGUGUGAUGAACCUUGAUGUUUAGUAUUGAAUCAUUAGUAAGUGUUUAGUAACCUGCUUUUUUAGAUGUUACCUUUGUAGCGGAGUUGUUUUUGGCAUAACUUUAAUCUAUAUUGGGCAGUUGCCUUGCUUAUGCAUGGAUGUGCUGCAAACUUUGUUUUAGAUUAGGACAUUGCUCUCUCAUGUUCGCCCUCUUGGUACUGAACUGGAUGGAAGUGGUU
This 2084-nucleotide long non-coding RNA is filed under the name Triticum aestivum (bread wheat). RNAcentral describes it as "long non-coding RNA (TAES_LNC022154)". Lineage: Eukaryota; Viridiplantae; Streptophyta; Magnoliopsida; Poales; Poaceae. The record is from RNAcentral.